GACCCUCGGAUAUAAGCACUUCUUUGAAAGUCAAUGCUAUUUUGAAUGGGGUAGAGAUUAUGAAGAUGAUAAAUGCUGCUGAUUCACAGAGUGAAUAUACAAAGAGAACUAUUUGGAUUGCGCUGGGUUCAACUCUUGGAGGCCUUCUUAUAUUUUCUUUAGCUGUGCUUGCAGCUGUGCUUCUAUGUAAAUGCAAAAAACAGAAACCAAAA
Molecule: unclassified non-coding RNA, 212 nt
Filed under: Hevea brasiliensis (rubber tree)
Lineage: Eukaryota; Viridiplantae; Streptophyta; Magnoliopsida; Malpighiales; Euphorbiaceae
Source: RNAcentral